AGCUUUCUUUAUCCAUGCUGAGAUUCUGUCAGUGACCAACCCACUGGAGCUGAUGCAACUUCCCAAAUAAGUGAAGUG
This 78-nucleotide microRNA precursor is filed under the name Trichobilharzia regenti. Its description in RNAcentral is "mir-3492 microRNA precursor family". It matches the Rfam family "mir-3492 microRNA precursor family". Lineage: Eukaryota; Metazoa; Platyhelminthes; Trematoda; Strigeidida; Schistosomatidae. The record is from Rfam by way of RNAcentral.